Molecule: ribosomal RNA, 498 nt
Filed under: uncultured bacterium
Lineage: Bacteria
Description: partial 16S ribosomal RNA
Rfam family: Bacterial small subunit ribosomal RNA
Source: RNAcentral
AUUGAACGCUGGCGGCAUGCCUUACACAUGCAAGUCGAACGGCAGCGGACCUUCGGGUGCCGGCGAGUGGCGAACGGGUGAGUAAUGCAUCGGAACGUACCUUUCAGUGGGGGAUAACGUAGCGAAAGUUACGCUAAUACCGCAUAUUCUGUGAGCAGGAAAGCAGGGGAUCGCAAGACCUUGCGCUGAUUGAGCGGCCGAUGUCAGAUUAGCUAGUUGGUGAGGUAAAGGCUCACCAAGGCGACGAUCUGUAGCGGGUCUGAGAGGAUGAUCCGCCACACUGGAACUGAGACACGGUCCAGACUCCUACGGGAGGCAGCAGUGGGGAAUUUCGGACAAUGGGGGCAACCCUGAUCCAGCCAUGCCGCGUGAGUGAAGAAGGCCUUCGGGUUGUAAAGCUCUUUCGGCCGGGAAGAAAUCGUAUGGGCUAAUACCCUGUGCGGAUGACGGUACCGGCAUAAGAAGCACCGGCUAACUACGUGCCAGCCGCCGCCGUAA